GUAGAGGCGAACCACAGGCACGCA
This 24-nucleotide non-coding RNA is filed under the name Cricetulus griseus (Chinese hamster). The record is from RNAcentral. Lineage: Eukaryota; Metazoa; Chordata; Mammalia; Rodentia; Cricetidae.